ACCCUUUUUCCGAUUUAUUAUAUUUAUAGUCGUGUAGGGCAGAAUAAUCGAACAAUUUGCUUUCGUUUACGUUAAUUGUUAUAAUUUAAUUCUCGGUGUCUGCUGGCCAUAUUCCAUUGUUUAUAAGUUUUACUAAGGAUUGUGCAAGUAGAGGAGUCGAUUAAGCGUGCCAGGGAAGGCGUUUUGUUUAUUUGCGUGUCCAAUAUGAGGGUAUGGAAUGCCGUUUAAAUACAGAAAUGAUGACAAUCAAACUGCUAACACAGCUUUAAUGCAGGAAAGCGUUUUAGUUAUU
This 292-nucleotide small RNA is filed under the name Drosophila mojavensis. Its description in RNAcentral is "GI26042". The record is from RNAcentral. Lineage: Eukaryota; Metazoa; Arthropoda; Insecta; Diptera; Drosophilidae.